CAAAAUCCAUUUCCCUUUCCUGUUCGCUCAGGGAUUAACAUUUGGAUUAGCAGUUGGAUAAACAACUUCAUUUUAAAAAUCCUGCGGCUAUUCAAAUUAGCUACACCGUGGGAUGUAAGGAGCUCUCUGAUUGGUUGGUCAGACACAGGCUGUCUGCCAGCCUGGAUUUUUCUAGCUCAUAGCUUCGCCCUGCUAAGAAGCGUGUGCUUGUACAAAGGCCGUUCAGCCUCAGGAUUUACACUCGGCUCGACACGGAUAUGUGAAGAAUGAAGGGACCCUGCAGCGAAACGGAGAGCGCAACCUCUGACUAAGUGCCCGUUUACGCAGUCUGACCACCUGUGAAGGAUGAAGGACAGCCACCUGCAGGCCUGAUGGGCGUGGCCCUGCCGGCUGCCGGUCACGCCUAGGUUCUCACACACCUGCUUCUGAUCGGGCUCGUCGGGGGAGCUACUUAACAGAGCGAUGGAGCUUCCUCCGGCGCAGGAUCGUUGAGUUAGACUCCAUGAGGACAGCGGAACACAGGACUGCAAGACACACGGGGUGUGCGAAGGCACAGGGGCAGAGAGCAUGAAAUACCAGCACUUAGGAGAAGAUUCGUCACGGGAGUCGAGGGAGCACUUUUGGAGAUUUAAUGUGUGGUGUACAUUUACCUCACUGUAAAUAAACCCACUGCUCAUUCCACUAAGUCCGGCGUUUGGGUCCUUUCUCCAACAUCCCCCACGGUCUGCCACCCAGACCGUGACAAGGAGAGUCCUUAUAAUGUACAAAUGUACAAAAUAUUAAUUAAAAAAUAAUAUAAAUGGAGGCAAAUUUGCCUAGGGUACAAUGUAUACUAUGUACAGAAAGAUCUUUAAUGCAGCUACUACUAUGGCUCUAUGAAAGAUUUUUUUCUUUUAUUUUAACCUAUAUCAUUUUGAAAUCUUUUAUUAUGCACAUAUGUGCAUAAUAAAAGAUUGUUAUUGUUUGAACGUGAUCGACUCUUGAUUGUUUGUUCACAGCCCAACAUCAAAGAAUUGGUACAGUUUUUUGGAGCCGUGACCUGGAUGUUGUGAGUCUGAGUGUUGAACGAAAGAGAACAGAGUUCAGUUAUCGGACGGACAGGAUUCGGCCGAUCGAUCGAUUGGAGUGGGCCCACAAAAGUAUAAAGGCCUGCAAGAUUGGAAUUAACAGCGCUGUAAAACAUUUUCUUGAGAGCAAAUAUAAGGUGAGCUUCUCAAAAUUACAAUGGGCUUUGGAGAAAGUUACCUGUGGGGGACGCGAUCAGAUUGUAAGUCCCCGUUUAAAAGAAUUGUAGCGAGUCAAUCCCCGGGUCUGUGGAAAAAGACCUCAGGGUAGUCCACCCCUGAGGUUGAAGCAAGAAGAGGAGAAGAGCGCAGAGAAUCGCCUGUCCCGGAAGAUUAGUGUCUUUAACUGUUAAGAAGAUCAAAAGCCCCUUAGACAGAGGUUCUAGACUGAUCACAAAGGUAGAAGCAGGAAACAACCAGAAUGGGGAUCGGGGGAAGCUAGAAAAUAAUGAGAGGUCUGGUAAUAGCCUGUGAUUUUUAUGCCAUGACAAUUGCCCACAGCAGUCAUCCCACAUACGGUCCACCCAUUAAAGGAGGACAGAUGUUAUGAUCCUGGGUCUUUUGACCCAGCGUUUUGUGUUUUCUAUUAUUGUGAUGUAUUUUGGUUCUGGUUUUCUAUUUCUUUGGGUUUUGGUUCUGUUCUUCCUCAGUUUAGUGUUUAGUCUUUUCUGCCUGUGUAUUCCUGUGUCAAGUCCACGUUUCUAAGUCUGUGUCUUUGCAUGUGUGAGUUCCUGUUUUAUUUUGUAGGUCUGUGUCUCUCGUCAGUUUUUCUAGUUUCACUCCCCUUGUCUCGUUAUGUUCAAAUUCUCCCAGCCGUGCCUCCCUCCUAGGGCUGGGCGAUGUGACCCAAAAUUCAUAUCUCGAUAUUUUUUUAGCUGGAUGGCGAUAUACGAUAUAUAUCUCGAUAUUUUUUC
Molecule: long non-coding RNA, 1978 nt
Organism: Haplochromis burtoni (Burton's mouthbrooder)
Lineage: Eukaryota; Metazoa; Chordata; Actinopteri; Cichliformes; Cichlidae
Exons: 4
Source: RefSeq, a predicted model, not a curated record